CUGGUAGCUUUUGAACCUUGACCAGGCCUGUAUGUCAUUGAUUAUAGGUGAUGUUCUGAUUUGAAUUUGACGAGUCUUGUCAUAACAGUCCCAAGCCAUUUAAUGAAGUCAACUGUACAGAUAAACAGAAGGGAAAAGAAAUAUGAGGUCAUAUAUUUAUUUUCACUGACAUUCACACUGGACGUGUGUUUCUGAACACCAGAUAAAGGAAAACACAGAAAACCACCUGAUCAACAGAACACAGUGCAGGCAGCAUAAAGGUUGGAUCAGUUCUGAGGGCAGGAGGUCAAAAGACAUGCUCAGAAGAAACAGAGUGAAGAGAAUCAGACUCUCAUCAGCCUUUUGUUUUGUUAUAUUCUGAAACACCAGUUCAGUUAAUUGUCCUUCCCGGGGUGAUCUUGUAGCCUGACCAGAGAGAUUGGCCCAGUCAGCGAUGUAUUCAGGGGGUUGAGAGAGCUGGGAAGAAGAAAGGUUUUCAUCAUCACAUUGUUACUGUGCAGGGUAGUCAGACAGUUCAGUUCUGCUUCGCUCAUGAAUGUGCGUCUCAUUUGCAGACCCAGCGUGUUUCCUCCCCCCUCCUGAACACCCAUCAGCUCAUUCAGCCAGCUACCUGCGAGAGGCAAGGCACACCCCGGGUGGAAAAACACUUCAAAUGGCUACUUCACCUCCAGAGGUGCCGACAUAGAGAAUGCGAACAUCUGAGCAUUAUUCAGCAUCAUUUAGCAUUACGUUAUUCAGCGCCACAGCGAACCGAGGCACCCGUGCUGCGUCACCAUGGAUACGCAGUGACAGACACGCAGAGACGAGUACAGGUGCAACGGGAGAUCGUUGCGAUCACACCGAACAUCCUCCGAUCCGACGGUAUUACGGCCAAGUCCAAGACGCCGAUAUGCAAUCAAUACAACAUUGCAUUGUUUGUGAUAAUCACUGUGGUCAUACAUUAUGGCGUACACGUUAGUCGUUCGCGUUUUAAUUAGCAUGUUGUACAGUACUUAUAAAUAAAAGGUCAGUGGUUGUUAAAAAUGGAAGGUGAUUAUGAGUGUUCAAAGCAGAAUGUUCAAGCAGGUCAGGCUGGUAGACAGGAUAGCAACACCAGUGAUUUACACACAGAAACAUCUACUAAAACAAUGAAUGAACACAAUAAAUGGGUUAUAAAGGUGAGAUGCCAUUUAGGAUAAGUUGGGCCCCAAAACCUUUCUACUUUUUAAAAUGUAUUAUUGUGUAGGCCUAUUUGUGUUGUCAUUUUCCCCAGUUAUGUUACCAGGUAAGAAAGCAAAGUACAUACUUCUUAUUUACAGCAACGACCUGGAAGCAGUUAAGAGUUAGCUGUGUUGCUCAAGGACAGAACGACAGUUCACAUAAAUACAGACCUAGAAGUAUGCUGUUACUCUGUUCUAGGCUGUAGCAGCAGCCAAGUUGUGUUUUCAACAUCUUUUCAAUUCCUUUCCAACCAACAGCUAAGUAUUCUCCACGUCUUGCUCUCUUAGGGAGAGCUGUGUCUGAAGUUGUGCUCAUAUAGACAGCUGAUGCUGGAGGACCCACAGAGUGUGAAAUAGAUCCACGGGCAAGCCAGGCUACAGCACUAAUACGGUUAUAAGCCUGCCGGCCGAAUCCACCGUCACUCUCU
This is a long non-coding RNA of Esox lucius (northern pike), 1627 nucleotides long. Lineage: Eukaryota; Metazoa; Chordata; Actinopteri; Esociformes; Esocidae. The record is from Ensembl.